RNAcentral lists this transfer RNA (66 nucleotides) under Vampyroteuthis infernalis. Its description in RNAcentral is "tRNA-Gly". Lineage: Eukaryota; Metazoa; Mollusca; Cephalopoda; Vampyromorpha; Vampyroteuthidae. The record is from RNAcentral.
AUUUUAUUAGUAUAUUUAUAGUAUAUUUGUUUUCCAAGCAAAAGGUUUAAAAUUUUAAAUAAAAUA